UACGUAGGGUGCAAGCGUUAAUCGGAAUUACUGGGCGUAAAGCGUGCGCAGGCGGUUAUAUAAGUCAGAUGUGAAAUCCCCGGGCUCAACCUGGGAACUGGAUUUGAGACUGUAUAGCUAGAGUACGGUAGAGGGGGAUGGAAUUCCGCGUGUAGCAGUGACAUGCGUAGAUAUGCGGAGGAACACCGAUGGCGAAGACAAUCCCCUGGACCUGUACUGACGCUCAUGCACGAAAGCGUGGGGAGCAAACAGA
This 253-nucleotide ribosomal RNA is filed under the name uncultured bacterium. RNAcentral's name for it is "partial 16S ribosomal RNA". It matches the Rfam family "Bacterial small subunit ribosomal RNA", at positions 524 to 776 of the family's 1533-position model. The record is from RNAcentral.